Molecule: ribosomal RNA, 253 nt
Filed under: uncultured bacterium
Lineage: Bacteria
Description: partial 16S ribosomal RNA
Rfam family: Bacterial small subunit ribosomal RNA
Source: RNAcentral
GACAGAGGGUGCAAACGUUGUUCGGAGUUACUGGGCGAAAAGCGCGUGUAGGCUGCCCUGCAAGUCGGAUGUGAAAGCCCUGGGCUCAACCUAGGAAGUGCAUUCGAAACUGCAGGGCUGGAGUCCUGGAGAGGAAGGCGGAAUUCUCGGUGUAGAGGUGAAAUUCGUAGAUAUCGAGAGGAACACCGGUGGCGAAGGCGGCCUUCUGGAUAGUGACUGACGCUGAGACGCGAAAGCGUGGGGAGCAAACAGG